This is a long non-coding RNA of Rhinopithecus roxellana (golden snub-nosed monkey), 556 nucleotides long. RefSeq lists it as uncharacterized. The record is from RefSeq and is a predicted model, not a curated record. The transcript is spliced from 3 exons. Lineage: Eukaryota; Metazoa; Chordata; Mammalia; Primates; Cercopithecidae.
CAACAAAAGUUGAAGUCCCUGUGGCUAAGGACAGCAGAGACAUUACCACUCUGAGGCCUGAAGGCACAGAUCAUCCAUCCAAGCAGCUGUGUCCCUCUUUCCCUUGGGUCUGAAAGAUUUUGGAUCAUGGAAGAGAAGCCACCCCGCAGGAGCGUUAGAUCCCAGUUCUACCAGCGCCACAGAAUGCAGAGGGGAGCAGGAGAACCAAUACAAGGCAGUUUCCCUCCAGAAUUUCCUGACCUGGUAACUGUGCUAGACAAGAAAAGCCAACAGCUCCGUUCUCUAGUUUUACACAGCUCCCACAGCCACAGAGACCACUUGGGCCAAGAUAUCAGUGAAGUGUGAAGACCUCAAGUGCUUAGAAGAGUGAAAAGGAACAUGAUCUUAGAAAAGCUCAGUCUUGCACCUCGAGGAGCCUGGGGGACACGUGAGGACACCUUCAGCAUGGUCCACACCCUCCAUUCACCCCCAAACCCCUGCUCAUGGCUACCACUUGGGCCUCAGGGUGUGUACACCAGCCGCAGGGUCUGCCACCCAGGGGACAGGCCCAGGGAAG